Transfer RNA from Nadsonia fulvescens var. elongata DSM 6958, 72 nucleotides. It matches the Rfam family "tRNA". From Rfam's summary of the family: Transfer RNA (tRNA) molecules are approximately 80 nucleotides in length. NCBI's taxonomy places the organism in Eukaryota, Fungi, Ascomycota, Dipodascomycetes, Dipodascales. The record is from Rfam.
GGUUGUGUAGUGUAGUGGUUAUCACAUCGGUUUCUGAUUCCGAUAACCCCAGUUCGAAUCCGGGCACGACCU